AUGAUUAACGGGCAUGCGGCCGCCCUGUGCACAAAUUGUGGCAGAAGGCCUCAGCCCAGGUUGUCUCGGCCUGCAUCCAUUCCCACUCUAUGGACCGCUCGGGCGGCUUUUCCUAAUGCGCUCAAGCAGCUUUUUGGGGCAAAAUAUGAUACAGUACUUCUGAAUUUUCAAUGCAACUCUGUGCUUUUAAGUAUUUUGGUAAUGUUUAAUGCACUGUUUAAUUUAGAAAAAAAUGUGCACCAAUUUUUUUUGCAAAAUAAUGUUAAUGAUUGUAUUUGUGUUUUGUGUGUGUGUGUGUGUGUGUGGUGCAUUUUAUAUGAUGUUAUCCAUAUAAUAAUGCCCAUGCACUAUUAA
RNAcentral lists this ribosomal RNA (354 nucleotides) under Triticum aestivum (bread wheat). RNAcentral's name for it is "partial small subunit ribosomal RNA". The record is from RNAcentral. Lineage: Eukaryota; Viridiplantae; Streptophyta; Magnoliopsida; Poales; Poaceae.